UUACUAGCCUAUUAGUAUCCAUGGGGAUCCAUAGGGGUCCCGCUACCCGUGGACCUUUAACACUUGUAAUCAGAUUCCAGGGCCGUCCCCAUACCCCGUUCGGUAUGGGCGCCAAAACCAUAAACCUCAAUACCCCGUCCGGUAUGGGCGCCAAAACACAUAGGGUCUCCAUACCCCGUCCGGUAUGAGAGACCACAAUCCCGGUAGGGUUCCCUACGGACCCGGUCCGUCCACCAUCUCCCAUGAUAUCUAGUCAGGCUGAUCGCAUUAUACAAUUAACAAUUUACAUGACCUUUCAUUCCCCUUUUCCUCAGUCAGCAUCAUCAAUUCACACACAAACAAACAAAAUAGUAAUUUAUGCCAAACAAGAUAACAUACAGCAUCGGUUUCUCAGUCAUUCAACCCAUAAUCAAUAAAACAGUAAAAUAUGCACACGAAACAAUGAAAUGAAAACAUCAGACCUCAUACUGCAUUUAAAACUGUAAAAUAUGCCGAAUAACAGUUAACCGACCAACACACUAGACUCGGGCUCCAUUGGCGACCUUAAGCAAUUUCACACAUUCGUUGAUUCAAGAAUUUCCGUUUUAUCAUUAUUGAACUUUAAUACCGUGAUAGGAAAUAGGGUGAGGGGUCCUUACUCGUUUCGGGGUCCGAACACGGCUUCACAGUGAGC
RNAcentral lists this long non-coding RNA (673 nucleotides) under Carica papaya (papaya). RNAcentral describes it as "long non-coding RNA (CPAP_LNC007724)". The record is from RNAcentral. Lineage: Eukaryota; Viridiplantae; Streptophyta; Magnoliopsida; Brassicales; Caricaceae.